UAGCAUGUCGACACCCGCCGCAUCCAAAUUUAGGGUUUAUCAUUCUCUUCGUUCUUCACUAUUCCAAAAAUUGUCAUCGUCAGGAGUCUCAUCCUGAGGUUAUAAUCACGUCGUUUCCUCUUCUCUUACACAAUCGAAACGCUCCCAGUUACAGAUCCAUGGUUAAACACCUUCUUUGAUCCACCAACCAUGAUCGUGCCUUCAAUGCGAGAUUCUCUUCUCCAAGUCGGUCUAUCUGCGAGUAUAAAUAGUACCCAAUCUGUGCUUGCGCUAUUCUGCAAUACUGCGUCAUAAUGUGUUGCGUCAUAAUGCGUUGGGAAAUAUUUCUGAAUCGAUUGCUUCGCAACUACCUACACUACCACCUUUAUGAUCAAUCAGAGAAGUUGAGAUCAAAAAGCAACAAGAUUUGAGGCACAUUAUUCUAGCCAACAUGUUUAUCUUUUAGUAGUUAUUCUUUCAUAAUGAUUGAUUAUUGUAGCUUUCUAGAUUACAGUUUAGAUAGUUUCUAUGAUACUGCGUCAAUAUGUAAACCCAUUGGGUAUGAUAUUUUUUUCUUAUCAUGUACUUGCUGUUUUUGUUUCUUGAGACAGUCUUAUUGUUAUUCAACUAUUUUAUCUAAUAUGAUAUCUACAUGCUUACUCCUGUCA
This is a long non-coding RNA of Brassica napus (rape), 647 nucleotides long. RefSeq lists it as uncharacterized. The transcript is spliced from 3 exons. Lineage: Eukaryota; Viridiplantae; Streptophyta; Magnoliopsida; Brassicales; Brassicaceae. The record is from RefSeq and is a predicted model, not a curated record.